AGAAGGUCCCAAGGGUUGGGCUGUUCGCCCAUUAAAGCGGCACGCGAGCUGGGUUUAGAACGUCGUGAGACAGUUCGGUCCCUAUCCUCUACGAUCGUAGGAAAUUUGAAGGAAUCUGCUUCUAGUACGAGAGGACCGAAGUGGACGAACCUCUAGUGUACCUGUUGUCGCAUCAGCGGCAUCGCAGGGUAGCUACGUUCGGCAGGGAUAAGCGCUGAAAGCAUAUAAGCACGAAACCCAUCCUAAGAUAAGAUUUCCCUUCCCCUCGGGGACUAAAGACUUCCAGUAGACUACUGGUUUGAUAGGCCACAGAUGCAAGUGUAGUAAUACAUUUAGUCGAGUGGUACUAAUUAGUCGUGAGACUUAAUCAAAUU
Molecule: ribosomal RNA, 374 nt
Filed under: Fidelibacterota bacterium
Lineage: Bacteria; Pseudomonadati; Fidelibacterota
Description: partial 23S ribosomal RNA
Rfam family: Bacterial large subunit ribosomal RNA
Source: RNAcentral